Daktulosphaira vitifoliae (grape phylloxera) is the source of this 197-nucleotide long non-coding RNA. RefSeq lists it as uncharacterized. The record is from RefSeq and is a predicted model, not a curated record. The transcript has 3 exons. Lineage: Eukaryota; Metazoa; Arthropoda; Insecta; Hemiptera; Phylloxeridae.
AAACAUUGACGUACAGCUUAAAAAAAUAAGUUUAUUCAGCUUAAUAAAUAUAAAUAAACAAUUUAAUAUAAACAACUAUUAAGAAAAAAGAAUAAAAAUUUCUUACGUCAUUUAUAAGUUCUGUAACAUCAUCAACUGUUCCAAAACUCCUAUGACAUAAUGGACAGCAUGGUUUUUCAGCUUCUAAUUUUUUUAUA